UAAGGGCGCACGGUGGAUGCCUUGGCACUAGAAGCCGAUGAAGGACGUUACUAACGACGAUAUGCUUUGGGGAGCUGUAAGUAAGCUUUGAUCCAGAGAUUUCCGAAUGGGGAAACCCAGCAUGAGUUAUGUCAUGUUAUCGAUAUGUGAAUACAUAGCAUAUCAGAAGGCACACCCGGAGAACUGAAACAUCUUAGUACCCGGAGGAAGAGAAAGAAAAUUCGAUUCCCUUAGUAGCGGCGAGCGAAACGGGAAGAGCCCAAACCAACAAGCUUGCUUGUUGGGGUUGUAGGACACUCUAUACGGAGUUACAAAGGACGACAUUAGACGAAUCAUCUGGAAAGAUGAAUCAAAGAAGGUAAUAAUCCUGUAGUCGAAAAUGUUGUCUCUCUUGAGUGGAUCCUGAGUACGACGGAGCACGUGAAAUUCCGUCGGAAUCUGGGAGGACCAUCUCCUAAGGCUAAAUACUCUCUAGUGACCGAUAGUGAACCAGUACCGUGAGGGAAAGGUGAAAAGCACCCCGGAAGGGGAGUGAAAUAGAACCUGAAACCGUGUGCUUACAAGUAGUCAGAGCCCGUUAAUGGGUGAUGGCGUGCCUUUUGUAGAAUGAACCGGCGAGUUACGAUUUGAUGCAAGGUUAAGCAGUAAAUGUGGAGCCGUAGCGAAAGCGAGUCUGAAUAGGGCGUUUAGUAUUUGGUCGUAGACCCGAAACCAGGUGAUCUACCCUUGGUCAGGUUGAAGUUCAGGUAACACUGAAUGGAGGACCGAACCGACUUACGUUGAAAAGUGAGCGGAUGAACUGAGGGUAGCGGAGAAAUUCCAAUCGAACCUGGAGAUAGCUGGUUCUCUCCGAAAUAGCUUUAGGGCUAGCCUCAAGUGAUGAUUAUUGGAGGUAGAGCACUGUUUGGACGAGGGGCCCCUCUCGGGUUACCGAAUUCAGACAAACUCCGAAUGCCAAUUAAUUUAACUUGGGAGUCAGAACAUGGGUGAUAAGGUCCGUGUUCGAAAGGGAAACAGCCCAGACCACCAGCUAAGGUCCCAAAAUAUAUGUUAAGUGGAAAAGGAUGUGGCGUUGCCCAGACAACUAGGAUGUUGGCUUAGAAGCAGCCAUCAUUUAAAGAGUGCGUAAUAGCUCACUAGUCGAGUGACACUGCGCCGAAAAUGUACCGGGGCUAAACAUAUUACCGAAGCUGUGGAUUGUCCUUUGGACAAUGGUAGGAGAGCGUUCUAAGGGCGUUGAAGCAUGAUCGUAAGGACAUGUGGAGCGCUUAGAAGUGAGAAUGCCGGUGUGAGUAGCGAAAGACGGGUGAGAAUCCCGUCCACCGAUUGACUAAGGUUUCCAGAGGAAGGCUCGUCCGCU
RNAcentral lists this ribosomal RNA (1360 nucleotides) under Staphylococcus aureus. Its description in RNAcentral is "partial 23S ribosomal RNA". It matches the Rfam family "Bacterial large subunit ribosomal RNA", at positions 12 to 1374 of the family's 2925-position model. The record is from RNAcentral. Lineage: Bacteria; Bacillati; Bacillota; Bacilli; Caryophanales; Staphylococcaceae.